This 492-nucleotide ribosomal RNA is filed under the name uncultured bacterium. RNAcentral's name for it is "partial 16S ribosomal RNA". It matches the Rfam family "Bacterial small subunit ribosomal RNA", at positions 29 to 507 of the family's 1533-position model. The record is from RNAcentral.
AGUGAACGCUGGCGGUAGGCCUAACACAUGCAAGUCGAACGGCAGCACAGUAAGAGCUUGCUCUUACGGGUGGCGAGUGGCGGACGGGUGAGGAAUACAUCGGAAUCUACUUUUUCGUGGGGGAUAACGUAGGGAAACUUACGCUAAUACCGCAUACGACCUACGGGUGAAAGCAGGGGAUCUUCGGACCUUGCGCGAUUGAAUGAGCCGAUGUCGGUUUAGCUAGUUGGCGGGGUAAAGGCCCACCAAGGCGACGAUCCGUAGCUGGUCUGAGAGGAUGAUCAGCCACACUGGAACUGAGACACGGUCCAGACUCCUACGGGAGGCAGCAGUGGGGAAUAUUGGACAAUGGGCGCAAGCCUGAUCCAGCCAUACCGCGUGGGUGAAAAAGGCCUUCGGGUUGUAAAGCCCUUUUGUUGGGAAAGAAAAGCAGCAGGUUAAUACCCCGCUGUUCUGACGGUACCCAAAGAAUAAGCACCGGCUAACUUCGUG